GAAUACACUGUACGGCACAAAGUGGAUGCCUUGACUCAUAUAUCCGAUGAAGGACGUGCAAGACUCACGAUAAGCCCCGGGAAGCUGUCAAGAAGCGUUAUACCCGAGGAUCUCCGAAUGGGGGAACCCAAUACGGUAAACCCGUAUUAUCUGCAGAGCAGAUGGACACCCAGCGAAUUGAAAUAUCUUAGUAACUGGGGAAAAGAAAUCAAACGAGAUUCCGUUAGUAGUGACGAGCGAAAGCGGAAGAGCCUAAACUCAUAGUGUGUCAAGCGUUAGAGCGUUGCACUGUGGGGGUUGUAAGAGCAUAUUACUGACUUCUAAUAGGUCAGACAAACAAAUAUCCUGGAUAGGAGAACCACUUGAAAAGAUGGACCGUAGAGGGUUACAGUCCCGUACUCGAAAUCCAAGAUAUUGAUUUGCAUGUGUUUCUUGAGUAGGGUCAGACACGAGAAAUCUGGCUUGAAUCUGGGGGGACCACCCUCCAAGGCUAAAGAGUAUAUGAGAUCGAUAGUGAACAAGUACCGUGAGGGAAAGGUGAAAAGAACCCCGGGAGGGGAGUGAAAUAGAACCUGAAACUUUGUGCCAAUAAAGAGUCGGAGCCUUCGGGUGACGGCGUACUUUUUGUAGAACGGACCAACGAGUUAGCUGUAUGUGGCAAGGUUAAGGAAGAGUUCAUCCGAAGCCGUAGGGAAACCGAGUCUGAAUAGGGCGACUAAGUCACAUGCACUAUACCCGAAACCUGGUGAGCUACCCAUGAGCAGGCUGAAGGUGGGGUAAAACCCACUGGAGGGCCGAACCAUUUGGAGCUGCAAGUCCAUUGGAUGACUUGUGGGUAGGAGUGAAAAGCUUAUCGAACUGGGAGAUAGCUGGUUCUCCGCGAAAUAUAUUUAGGUAUAGCCUCAUAAAGCAACGUACAGAGGUAGGGCUCUGAUAGGGCUAGCGGGUCGCAAGACUUAGCAACCCCUGAUAAACUUCGAAUGCUGUACGCCAAGUAUUAUGAGAGUCAGACAGUGACGGAUAAGCGCCAUUGUCAAAAGGGAAACAGCCCAGAUUGCUGUCUAAGGUCCCAAAGUUGUGGCUCAGUGGAAAAGGAGGUAGGAUUACAUAGACAACCAGGAUGUUGGCUUAGAAGCAGCCACUCAUUCAAAGAGUGCGUAAUAGCUCACUGGUCGAGUGAUCCCGCGCCGAAAAUUCAACGGGGCUUAAGCCACACACCGAAGACGCAAGUUGCACCUAGUGCAGCGGUAGCGGAGCGUUCUCUAUGCCAGUGAAGGUGAACCGGAAGGUUUGCUGGAGGUACGAGAAGUGAAAAUGUUGGUAUGAGUAACGUAAUGGAGAUGAAAACUCUCCACGCCGUAUGUCCAAGGUUUCCUAUCCAACGUCAAUCGUGGUAGGGUGAGCCGGUCCUAAGGUCAACCUGAAAGGGGUAGCUGAUGGAUAGCAGGUUAAUAUUCCUGCGCUACACGGUAUUCGUUAUCAUCUAUGGAGGGACGCAUAGUGUACAUGGAGUGGAUCUAAUGGAUUUCCACAUGUUUAUAAUCUGGCUGCGCAGGUAAAUCCACGCAGCAAUACAGAGAAGAAAGCAUCUAGCUUUCGAGAAGUCUUCGGACCUAUCGGAGGUCAAGUCCUACAUGUGCAUUGUGCCAAGAAAAUCUUCUACGAGAGAAUACCUGUAACCGUACCGUAAUCGAACACUCGUGGACUAGUGUGAGUACACUAAGGCGAACGGGAUAAUCAUGCUUAAGGAACUCUGCAAAACAGCGGUCGUAACUUCGGGAUAAGACCUCCCACAUCACUACUUUAAUGAUGUGGGCGCAGCUAACGAGCCCAGGCGACUGUUUACCAAAAACACAGCUCUCUGCAAACACGCAAGUGGAAGUAUAGGGGGUGAUGCCUGCCCAGUGCCAGAAGAUUACGUGGAGGGGUGCAAGCUCUGAAACUAAGUCCUGGUGAACGGCGGCCGUAACUAUAACGGUCCUAAGGUAGCGAAAUUCCUUGUCAGGUAAGUUCUGACCCGCACGAAUGGCAUAACGGUCUGGGCACUGUCUCAAGCAUGAUCCCGGUGAAAUUGCAAUAUCGGUAAAAAUGCCGAUUACUCGCAGCAAGACGGAAAGACCCUAUGAAGCUUUACUCUAACUUGGUACUGAGUUGUAUGAUAUGAUGCGCAGGAUAGGUGGGAGACUAUGAAACAGGAACUUCGGUUUUUGUUGAGUCGACGUUGAGAUACCACCCUUCAUAUUAUGCAACUCUCACCCAGCGCUUUGA
RNAcentral lists this ribosomal RNA (2268 nucleotides) under Candidatus Gracilibacteria bacterium CG_4_10_14_0_8_um_filter_38_28. Its description in RNAcentral is "bacterial LSU rRNA". It matches the Rfam family "Bacterial large subunit ribosomal RNA", at positions 1 to 2238 of the family's 2925-position model. The record is from RNAcentral. Lineage: Bacteria; Candidatus Altimarinota.